CCCUUAGAUGUUCUGGGCCGCACGCGCGCUACACUGAUGAAUUCAGCGAGCACUAACCUGUGCCGAAAGGUUCGGGUAAUCUUGUGAAAUUUCAUCGUGAUGGGGAUUGAUUAUUGCAAUUUUUAAUCAUAAACGAGGAAUGCCUAGUAAGCGUGAGUCAUCAGCUCACGUUGAUUACGUCCCUGCCCUUUGUACACACCGCCCGUCGCUCCUACCGAUUGAAUGUGCCAGUGAAAAGUUCGGAUUGGAGAUAGGAAACGGCAACGUAUCCUAUUUCCGAGAAAAUCUUUAAACUUUCCCAUUUAGAGGAAGGAGAAGUCGUAACA
RNAcentral lists this ribosomal RNA (326 nucleotides) under uncultured eukaryote. RNAcentral's name for it is "partial 18S ribosomal RNA". It matches the Rfam family "Eukaryotic small subunit ribosomal RNA", at positions 1470 to 1796 of the family's 1831-position model. The record is from RNAcentral.